ACAUGAGUUUGAGCAAGCUCCGGAAGACAGUGGACAGGGAAGCCUUGUGUGCUGCAGUUCAUGGGGUCACAAAGAGUCAGACACGACUUAACAACUGAACAAUAAUAACUCAUCUACCCAACACAGAGUAGAGAUUUGUCAUUGUUUAAAUACUUCAGUCAAUGUGGGUAGCCAAUUUGGAGAAAUUCUUGAAUUUUCCCACACUGACUACAUUAACCAGGUAACUGCCAUAUAUCCAGAGUAUUACCUGAUGCUGACACCAGCUUUUCUGUUUAUUCCUCUUGUUUCUUUUUGACUUUACAGACAAAUUAACUCUGUGGUGGCUUUGCUUCUUAUCCAAAUAAUUUAUUUAUGAAUAGGACCCUCUGAUUGAGAUUUUCUAUGUUAAUGCCAAAACACUGUUUAUAUACUAACAGUGAACUGGACUAUUUGUGCAGUAUAGCCACCCUGGCUUGUCAUGGUUUCAGGGGAGCCCUUUUCGCAGGACAUGAAAGCUCUAGUGUUAAAGAUCAAUAAACCCUUUCAGAACCCAUCAACAGUAGCCAAAAACCCUUCCCAUCCAGCCACAUCUACUAGCUUGGCUCCUUUCCUCCAUCAAGGAUUAAAGAAACAAACACAAAAACAAAUCACACCUAUUGAAUCACACCCCUGAACUGUAUUAAAGCCCAUUACUGAAAAAAAUAAAAUAAACCCCAUUUCUGUUGGGGUGAUAAUGAGAGUUGUGAUUGUCUUCAAAUUAAGUAUAUCUCCCUUCAAUGUCCAUACAAAAUGUUUCCAGCUUGCAAGACUGGCUUAAUUCACAUCUUAUCUGGUAAAAUUCUCCAGUGCAAUUACUAAUGCUAACAUUUAGUGAGCAUUUAUCAUGUGUUAGGAUCUGUGCUUUUCAUGCCUUAUCUCAUUUGAUCCUCAGAACACCUCUUAAAGAUGGAAUCAUUACCAACCCAACUUAUGGAUAUUAAAUGUCCAGUUGAAGGAAAUUGAAGAUGAAGGAAAUAUGGGGAAAAUGCUACAGUACGCGCAGAAAACAAAUAACAAAAUACAGAAUAGGAUGAAACAAGAAAUCAGUAGCAGAAGGAAAACUGGAAAGUUGACAAACAUGUGGAAAUAAAAUACCACUCUCUUAAGCAACCAUGGAUCAAAGAAGAAAUUACAAAGGAAAUAAGAAAAUAACUUAAGACAAAUGAAAAUGAAAAAACAACAUACCAACUUAAUGGAUGCAGCAAAAACAGUGCUAAGAGGGAAAUCUCUCUAUAAAUCCAUGAAGAAAA
This is a long non-coding RNA of Bubalus bubalis (water buffalo), 1268 nucleotides long. RefSeq lists it as uncharacterized. Lineage: Eukaryota; Metazoa; Chordata; Mammalia; Artiodactyla; Bovidae. The record is from RefSeq and is a predicted model, not a curated record. The transcript has 2 exons.